RNAcentral lists this ribosomal RNA (450 nucleotides) under uncultured bacterium. RNAcentral describes it as "bacterial SSU rRNA". It matches the Rfam family "Bacterial small subunit ribosomal RNA", at positions 364 to 832 of the family's 1533-position model. The record is from RNAcentral.
UUCGCAAUGCCCGAAAGGGUGAACGAGCGACGCCGCGUGUGGGAUGAAGUCCUUCGGGAUGUAAACCACUGUCAGGGGAAAGAAAGUUCUGAUCUACCCCAGAGGAAGGCACGGCUAACUCUGUGCCAGCAGCCGCGGUAAGACAGAGGUGCCGAGCGUUAGGCGGAAUCACUGGGCAUAAAGCGCAUGUAGGCGGCCUCAAAAGUCAGGUGUGAAAUCCCCCGGCCCACCCGGGGAAUUGCAUUUGAAACUGAGGGGCUCGAGUGAUGGAGGGGAGAGUGGAACUCCUGGUGGAGCGGUAAAAUGCGUAGAUAUCAGGAGGAACGCCGGUGGAGAAGUCGACUCUCUGGCCAUCUACUGACGCUGAGAUGCGAAAGCUAGGGGAGCAAACGGGAUUAGAUACCCCGGUAGUCCUAGCCGUAAACGAUGGGCACUAAGUAGAGGGGUUUU